This 449-nucleotide ribosomal RNA is filed under the name Ardeadoris egretta. RNAcentral's name for it is "partial 16S ribosomal RNA". It matches the Rfam family "Bacterial large subunit ribosomal RNA", at positions 1827 to 2597 of the family's 2925-position model. Lineage: Eukaryota; Metazoa; Mollusca; Gastropoda; Nudibranchia; Chromodorididae. The record is from RNAcentral.
AGCCUUAAGAAUGGAUUUAAGGUUAUACCUGCCCAAUGUACUAAUUAAUGGCCGCGGUACUCUGACCGUGCUAAGGUAGCGCAAUCAAUUGGCUCUUAAUUGGAGUCAGGAAUGAAUGGAGUUACGGGGUUCAGCUGUCUCUCAGCUAAUUAAUCGAAAUUACUAUAUAGGUGAAAAAGCCUAUAUACAGAAAAAGGACGAGAAGACCCUUAGAGUUUUCCCUAAUGUAAUAUUAAGAAGCUAUUUAUUACACUGGUUUUGUUGGGGCAACAUAGGAGCAGCUAAUAAGUUAAUCUCCUGAAUUAAAUGAACCGAUAAUUUUAAACAUAAAUAAACUACCUUAGGGAUAACAGCAUAAUUUUAUAAAUAAGUUUGUGACCUCGAUGUUGGACUAGGAAACCUAAAGGCUAGUCGUCUUCAGGGAAAGUUCUGUUCGAACUAUCAUUCCU